Molecule: transfer RNA, 74 nt
Filed under: Chaenophryne melanorhabdus
Lineage: Eukaryota; Metazoa; Chordata; Actinopteri; Lophiiformes; Oneirodidae
Description: tRNA-Lys
Rfam family: tRNA
About the family: Transfer RNA (tRNA) molecules are approximately 80 nucleotides in length.
Source: RNAcentral
CGCUAAGAAGCUAAAUACGGUCCAGCGUUAGCCUUUUAAGCUAAAAAAUGGUGCCUACCGACCACCCUUAGUGA